This 1018-nucleotide ribosomal RNA is filed under the name uncultured archaeon. RNAcentral's name for it is "bacterial SSU rRNA". It matches the Rfam family "Archaeal small subunit ribosomal RNA", at positions 428 to 1448 of the family's 1478-position model. The record is from RNAcentral.
CAGGGGAAUAAGGAGAGGGCAAGACUGGUGUCAGCCGCCGCGGUAAUACCAGCUCUCCGAGUGGUAGGGAUGAUUAUUGGGCUUAAAGCGUCCGUAGCCGGCUUAGCACGUCUCCUGUUAAAUUCAGCGACCUAAUCGUUGACCCGCGGGAGAUAGUACUAGGCUAGGAGGCGGGAGAGAUCGACGGUACUUCUGGGGUAGGGGUGAAAUCCUAUAAUCCCGGGAGGACCACCAGUGGCGAAGGCUGUCGAAUAGAACGCGCUCGACGGUGAGGGACGAAAGCUGGGGGAGCGAACCGGAUUAGAUACCCGGGUAGUCCCAGCCGUAAACCGAUGCGAGCUAGGUGUUGGGAUGGCUACGUGCCAUUUCAGUGCCGCAGGGAAGCCAUUAAGCUCGCCGCCUGGGGAGUACGGCCGCAAGGCUGAAACUUAAAGGAAUUGGCGGGGGAGCACCACAAGGCGUGAAGCUUGCGGUUCAAUUGGAGUCAACGCCGGGAACCUUACCGGGGGCGACAGCAGUAUGAUGGCCAGAUUGAAGGUCUUGCUUGACAAGCUGAGAGGAGGUGCAUGGCCGUCGCCAGUUCGUGCCGUGAGGUGUCCUGUUAAGUCAGGCAACGAUCGAGACCCACGCCUCUAGUUGCUACUGAGGAAGUUUUCCGAGGGGCACUCUAGAGGGACUGCCGUCGACAAGACGGAGGAAGGAGUGGGCCACGGCAGGUCAGUAUGCCCCGAAUCCCCCGGGCUACACGCGAGCUGCAAUGGCAGGAACAAUGGGUUCCGACCCUGAAAAGGGAAGGCAAUCUCUAAAUCCUGCCUCAGUUUGGAUCGAAGGCUGGAACCCGCCUUCGUGAAAAUGGAAUGCCUAGUAAUCGCGCGUCAUCAACGCGCGGUGAAUACGUUCCCGCUCCUUGCACACACCGCCCGUCGCUCCAUCCGAGUGGGGUUUGGGUGAGGCGUGGUCUUCUUGGCUGCGUCGAAUCUGAGUUCCGCAAGGAGGGAGAAGUCGUAACAAGGUAGCC